Molecule: ribosomal RNA, 163 nt
Filed under: Phlegmacium cf. subolivascens
Lineage: Eukaryota; Fungi; Basidiomycota; Agaricomycetes; Agaricales; Cortinariaceae
Also listed under: 1 other name
Description: Cortinarius cf. subolivascens 5.8S ribosomal RNA
Rfam family: 5.8S ribosomal RNA
About the family: 5.8S ribosomal RNA (5.8S rRNA) is a component of the large subunit of the eukaryotic ribosome. It is transcribed by RNA polymerase I as part of the 45S precursor that also contains 18S and 28S rRNA.
Source: RNAcentral
CAACUUUCAGCAACGGAUCUCUUGGCUCUCGCAUCGAUGAAGAACGCAGCGAAAUGCGAUAAGUAAUGUGAAUUGCAGAAUUCAGUGAAUCAUCGAAUCUUUGAACGCACCUUGCGCUCCUUGGUAUUCCGAGGAGCAUGCCUGUUUGAGUGUCAUUAAUAUA